UACGUAGGGGGCAAGCGUUGUCCGGAAUCAUUGGGCGUAAAGCGCGUGUAGGCGGCCAGAAAAGUCCGCUGUGAAAACUCGAGGCUCAACUUCGAGCUGUCGGUGGAAACUUUCUGGCUAGAGUCCGGAAGAGGAGAAUGGAAUUCCUGGUGUAGCGGUGAAAUGCGCAGAUAUCAGGAAGAACACCCGUGGCGAAGGCGGCUCUCUGGGACGGUGACUGACGCUGAGACGCGAAAAGCCGU
This 242-nucleotide ribosomal RNA is filed under the name uncultured bacterium. Its description in RNAcentral is "partial 16S ribosomal RNA". It matches the Rfam family "Bacterial small subunit ribosomal RNA", at positions 524 to 764 of the family's 1533-position model. The record is from RNAcentral.